RNAcentral lists this ribosomal RNA (1174 nucleotides) under uncultured bacterium. RNAcentral describes it as "bacterial SSU rRNA". It matches the Rfam family "Bacterial small subunit ribosomal RNA", at positions 308 to 1478 of the family's 1533-position model. The record is from RNAcentral.
GCACAUAGGGAAUGAAGACACUGCUCAGACUCCUACGGGAGGCAAGCCAGUGGGGAAUAUUGACAAUGGGGCAAGCCUGAUCCAGGCAUGCCGCGUGAGUGAUGAAGGCCUAAGGGUUGUAAAGCUCUUUGUCAGGGAAAGAAACGGUAGAGGCUAAUAUCCUUGCUAAUGACGGUACCUGAAGAAUAAGCACCGGCUAACUACGUGCCAGCAGCCGCGGUAAUACGUAGGGUGCAAGCGUUAAUCGGAAUUACUGGGCGUAAAGCGUGCGCAGGCGGUUUUGUAAGUCUGUCGUGAAAUCCCCGGGCUCAACCUGGGAAUUGCGAUGGAGACUGCAAGGCUAGAAUCUGGCAGAGGGGGGUAGAAUUCCACGUGUAGCAGUGAAAUGCGUAGAGAUGCGGAGGAACACCGAUGGCGAAGGCAGCCCCCUGGGUCAAGAUUGACGCUCAUGCACGAAAGCGUGGGGAGCAAACAGGAUUAGAUACCCUGGUAGUCCACGCCCUAAACGAUGUCUACUAGUUGUCGGGUUUUAAUUAACUUGGUAACGCAGCUAACGCGUGAAGUAGACCGCCUGGGGAGUACGGUCGCAAGAUUAAAACUCAAAGGAAUUGACGGGGACCCGCACAAGCGGUGGAUGAUGUGGAUUAAUUCGAUGCAACGCGAAAAACCUUACCUACCCUUGACAUGUACGGAAGACCGAAGAGAUUUGGUUGUGCUCGAAAGAGAGCCGUAACACAGGUGCUGCAUGGCUAUCGUCAGCUCGUGUCGUGAGAUGUUGGGUUAAGUCCCGCAACGAGCGCAACCCUCGCCUUUAGUUGCCAUCAUUUAGUUGGGCACUCUAGGGGGACUGCCGGUGAUAAGCCGGAGGAAGGUGGGAUGACGUCAAGUCUUCAUGGCCCUUACGGGCUGGGCUACACACGUGCUACAAUGGUGGUGACAGAGGGCUGCUAGGCCGCGAGGCCAUGCUAAUCCCUAAAAGCCAUCUCAGUUCGGAUUGCACUCUGCAACUCGGGUGCAUGAAGUCGGAAUUGCUAGUAAUCGCAGAUCAGCACGCUGCGGUGAAUACGUUCCCGGGCCUUGUACACACCGCCCGUCACACCAUGGAGUUGGUUCUACCCGAAGCCGGUGCGCUAACCGCAAGGAAGCAGCCGACCACGGUAGGUCAGCGGACCGG